Cordylochernes scorpioides is the source of this 4987-nucleotide non-coding RNA. The record is from the annotation of a GenBank genome assembly. Lineage: Eukaryota; Metazoa; Arthropoda; Arachnida; Pseudoscorpiones; Chernetidae.
UUAUAAGCUGAGUUAUUAUUUAUAAUAUAUGAAAAUAUAAAGAGACUCAGUAAACAAAACUCAUUGUUUAUUUAUUUUAAAAAAAUAUAUGUUAAAUAGAAUGGCUGCCAGAUGAUGAUAAAUUAAUUGGCGUUGCCAAACUAAAGAUUAAUAUAUAUAACACACAUGUCCCUUUAACAAUCAAAGAUUCAAUCUGAGUGGAGGUCGAACUACCCUACCAGAUCUAGUGGUGAUCAGGUUCUUUGAGGAUCCGGUGGUCAAGUUCUUUGAGGAUCCGGUGGUCCAGUUCUUUGGGGAUCUGGUGAUCAAGUUCUUUGGGGAUCCGGUCGUCAAGUUCUUGGGGAUCUGGUGGUCAAGUUCUUUGGGGAUCCGGUGGUCAAGUUCUUUGGGAUCCAGUGGGCCAGUUCCUUGGGGAUCCAGUGGUCCAGUUCUUUGGGGAUCCGGUGGUCAAGUUCUUUGAGGAUCCGGUGGUCAAGUUCUUUGGGGAAUCCGGUGGUCAAGUUCUUUGGGGAUCCAGUGGGCCAGUUCUUUGGGGAUUCGGUGGUCAAGUUCUUUGGGGAUCCGGUGGUCAAGUUCUUUGGGGAUCUGGUGGUCAAGUUCUUUGGGGAUCCAGUGGGCCAGUUCUUUGGAGAUCCGGUGGUCAAGUUCUUUGGGGAUCCAGUGGGCCAGUUCCCUGGAGAUCCGGUGGUCAAGUUCUUUGGGGAUCCGGUGGUCAAGUUCUUUGGGGAUCCAGUGGGCCAGUUCCUUGGGGAUCCGGAAAAAGAGAUUUGUCCAGAAGAUGGAGAGGGAAGCUGUGUAGACUCCUGUGAUGUGAAAUCUUCCAGGUCUUGAAAAUUAGCUAGUUCCUGGCUCAGUUUUUUUUUAAAGGUUUCUCCCAGUCUGUGUGAGCAGUUUCAUUUUGUUUAUCCUUGCGAAUGUGAAUUCUAUUCCUUCUAUAUUAAUUACCUUCUUGAUAUUUCACGUAAAAGGAUCGGGGUUCAUGGGCUUGGUUUGUUAUCUGGCCUAGGAUCCAUCUUUUAUCCUUUUGAAACCAAACUAAAAUAUGAAAAUAUAGAGUAUAUUCUAUUUACACACAUGUUUUGGCAUACAGAGCGUGCAUUCCUUUCAUGUAGCCAGAGUAGAGAGUUUGCGAUCUUUUUCUCUGUUCUUUGGUGCUGCAGACUACACAUUGUCUCUCUUGAUUCUCUGGAAGCUUUUGGAGCUUUGGUGAGCUUGUAGAUGUUAUUGGGGCGUUGAUAAGGGGCUCUACAAGGGAAUCAAAUACUGAAAGGGUGAAUGCUUCCCUUUCCAGAAGUUUUUCAUCCUUGGAGUGCUCACAAUAUAUGAUGUAGGCAUUCAGAAGAGCUCGAUGUAAAAGGUUCACAACCACCUUUCUAUAAAAUUUCCUUUCAUCCAUAUGCACUUAGAGCAUCAUGUCUACACCUCCCAUGUCAUACACUAUCCUGGGGAUAUACUCUCUCCUGCCUGUCCCUAUCCAUGGUUUCAGCAUCACAGUCGGAUAGGCUCUUUGCUUCUUUCACUAAAUUGAAAUCUUCAAAUAAGAAUAGAAAAAUAUAACGAUGAUUGAAGUGUCUUAUAAGACGUAUUUUAAAGAUAUCUUGGUGGUUGAGGAUCUUGAUGGAAGAUUCUACAUUAGAUAAGAUUAACGGGAUGUUUAACUUGGCAGGAACCCUGUACUUGAGACCUAAUGAAAGGAGGUUCUUUUUCCGUUAGGGAUAAUUCUGCCGAGGAGAGAUUUAUUAGGUUGGAAGAUAUAUGAUUCUUAUAAGACACUCCUUUUCAAUCGUAGUUAUAUUUUUCUUUGCUUCUUUGUAUGCUAUAGCUAGCUGGCAAUCUUUUUGCAUAUAUAACACUCAUUUAGACCUGCCUUUGCUAAUGUCUUGCAAAAUCCAGAUCUAUUUGCUCUGAUUGUACCGGUCAAGUAGGUCUGGUUAUGGAAAAAAUCCUCAGCGAGCUUGGAACUGGUAAAAAAAUUGUCCAAUUCAAGGUGGUGCUCUUUCCCUAAAAGUUUGGCCUUUCUCAUAAGUUCCAUUGGAGCAUCAUAUGAAAGGCUUACUUGUAUUGGGGACAAUUUGCCUUUAUAAGGAGUCAGUUUGAGGCAAUAGUCAGUGUCUGAUUCGCACAACAUCCAGAGCUUCACCCCAAAUUAUCCAUGGUGCUUUUGCGGCAUAUAUUGCCUUGGCCUUAUGCGAUUUUUCAGAAAAUGGUUUGGUUUGGUCAUAGGCUGGAUCUGAACUAGGGAGAAUAUGUGCUGGACCAACAGCACUGAAAAAGCUGGGAAAAAUGGAAAGUAAACACUCACCCAAGGUAAAAAAACGAAUUCUUCAUCAGAAUUUACUGAUUCUUGCUCCUGUGUCUAUUAAAAAGGGCAAAUUUACAUUUGGUGACAGUUCAGUCCAUAUUAUUAGCUGUUCAACGAAAAAAGGUUGAAGGUUUUCCUACCGUUGAGCUGCUCGUGGGGCUUGUAGAGUCGUCUUGGCUUGCAGCUUAGACUUGGGGAACAUGGCUCGGAGAUUGGACCUUGGACCGGGUAUCAGAUUUUGGUACAGUGGUUGUGCGUGGUCUGGCGCUGUAGACUUGGCGUGUUCGAUCCUGUGGGAACCGUUGUUCACACUGGGAGUGCCAGUGCAUAGCAUUGCAAUACUUGCAAGGCGAGGGUGGGGGUGCAACUUGGUACGUUACAUGUGAUGACCGCUGGUUGUUGUACCGCAGUGGUGGGUUGUGGUAGGUUGGGUGUGGAGCCUUGUCUACUUGGCGCUGGUACACUGCACUGGUGGCACACUGAGUUCCUCUUAUUCUUGACACUAGGUCGAACCAUUCUUUAAUGGUGUUUGGUUGUACCGUUGCGAUUAAUCGCUGGUCUGUGACGGGCAGUCCGUCGGUCAGAGACUCUAUUAAUAUGUCGGCGGGUAGGUUGAGUUUCAUGCCCAUAACCGUUUUGUUUUGGUAGUAGUCUUCUAGGGGCAUUUGGGGUGUCAAUUUGAUAGCCAAAAAGCGUGCAAAUGACGCUUCUGUCAUUGCUGGGAAUAAGUAUCAGUGUCUGGCUGGCAUCAUUAUAAAAUAACCUAUCUAACUGUAGGCUUCGGAAAUAUUGGAGUGGCUUACCUUGCAGGUAGCAGGGUAACUUGCGUAGGCGGUCCGUGUAGGUCAGCUCAGCUCGGUCUGCUUGGGCAUCGAAGUUGUCGAAAAAGCUCUGGGCUUCAAAGGUACCAUCGUAUGGACUCACUUCUAUCUCCCUCGGAGAUCGGGCGAUCAGCAGCUUACUCAGGGCAUCGGCGAUCUGUGUCAGCGAUUCUGCGGAGGUACCUUGGGGCGGCGACAUUUCCUCCUCUUCAAAUGUCGUCUCUUGUUUGGGGACAGAUUGCUCGGCCGUAUCGUUGGACUGGUCGGUUUGUUCUUCCAUCUUGGCUCUUUCUCUCUUUUCUAUCUGGACAGUCUUCUUACCUUAUUCGCUGUGGUGUCCUUCGUUUGGGUUAUCCUGUCGACUCUCGCUAUAAGCUGUGGUAACCGAGGGUCAAACCUGUAGUAACCGAGAAGGACAGUCAGGGCGUGGAGAGUUUUUCAGUACCUCUCUGCACCUUGUAGGACCUUUAACAGUUCUCACAGAGUACAGGCAGUCGUGGUCGAGGCAUAGUGGAAAGCUUGGGAAUGUCCACACACAAAAAAACGAAGAGACACACUCGUAGUAGGAAAAUUCCAUGAACAGAUAAAAGUAGAGCUAAGAGCAAGAUGGAGUUAGAAGAGAUCUUACUGAUUUACAUGGCGAUGAGGUGGUCCUGGUUAAGACCGACAAGGGCUGGCGCCGACAGUGAAGUGACUGUAUUGUUUGGCUAAAACGGGGAGGUUUUAUCCUCCGACAAAAGAAGUAUCGCAUUACAGUACAUGCGAGAGGGCGCAGAUCCUCUGGCGAAACUGGACCUUGGCGCCGUCCUGACAGCUUCGAAUCUAUCUUUAGAAGUUGCUUUGUGUUUGACUUCUAUCUCUCUAGCUCAACUCUUAAUCUAUUACAGAGUUUUAUUUAUUAUUCUCAGUUUGUACAAGUUACAUUACAUAUGAUGAUGUAAUGACACAUGUCAAUCAUGCGUAUAAUCAUUUACAGAUGUGUUUCUAUUAUACAACAUGAAAAUCUUAUAAGUUAUAUACAAUAUGGGGUUGUUGGUGUAAAUUACCAUAUAUACAAUAAUUUAAUGCGAUAAAAUGAUUUUUAUACCUUAUAAUAAUAUUUUAUUGUAUGGUAAAGUUUGAAGCAAUCACCAAGGCAUAGUAGAACUAGGCAGGUCUCACAUUCAUAGGCUGUAUCUUUUCUUGCCUGCUUGCCAGAGGUUACCCUGCCUUUUUCAGCGCAAACUUUGCAUCUGCGUUGGGCAUAUGUUUUGCCUUCAACUUUGAUUCGGCGAAUAAAAUGACGUCCAAUAAGUCGAUCAGAUUGUUCACCGCUUGAAGGUUGAGCAUCAAGAAUAUCUUGAUUGGCUUCUGAGCAAAGAGCUUCGCAUAUUGAAAUAUGGAAGUCCCUCAAAGACAUUUUAGCAUCAGGAUUCAAUUUAUUGUAAAUUAUGCAUGAAUUUACAAUAGCAAGUCCAUAUAUAUGGAAAAAUAGUUUCUUCCACCAUUUCAUUGUGCGUCGAUCAAAAGAAUAAUAGGAGAGCAUCUGGUCACUUCGGUCCACUCCAAUUUUAUUCUUAUUGUAGUCAAGAACAACUUGUGGUUUGAGUAUUGGAGCUUGAGAAAGUCCAGGCCUCCCCAUGACUUCAACCAUUUGAUGGUCGUGAACAGUUGAGAUCAUCCAAACAUCUCUGGUGUGGCGCCAUUUCAUUGCCAUUAGGCUACCCUUGAAUAGAUGCAUUUCUUUACCUUUCUUCAAUUUUUUUGAAAAGGAAUUCUUAGGAAGACCUUUCCUAUUAGUUUUUACUGUACCAACAGCCAUUGUUUUCUUUUCCCAUAGAUAGUUGAAGAGGUGAAGCGAAGAAAACCACCUGUCACAAUAAAU